RNAcentral lists this long non-coding RNA (571 nucleotides) under Cucumis sativus (cucumber). RNAcentral's name for it is "long non-coding RNA (CSAT_LNC001273)". The record is from RNAcentral. Lineage: Eukaryota; Viridiplantae; Streptophyta; Magnoliopsida; Cucurbitales; Cucurbitaceae.
UCUCUGGCAGUCCAUCAUACGCACAAAGUCGUCGAAGCAGACGAACCCAUCCCCAUUUUUGUCUACACCUGCUAUCAUACGCUGACAAUCCUCUAACGUGCACCCAUCGUCUCCCAUAGCUGCGAACACACUAAAAAGCUCCUCCGCCGUAAUUCUCCCGUCGUGGUCCGCGUCGAAUAUCUCAAACGUAUCACGUAACUCGGAGUGGCAAGUCGGUCCAACCCGGUCCAUUUCGCCCAUCAUGAUCUUAAUCUCUUCCUCACUCGGCGGUUCGGCUCCGAUUAGGCCGAGUAGAGCCUUUAGUUCUUUACGAGAGAGAGUGGGGUCGGAGAAAUCGGACCAGUCGAGGGAGGGUAGAACGCUGGUGGGGGUUCCUGCCGCGGAGGAGGAGGAGGAGGAGGAGGCGGAGCCGAAAGAAGGAGGUUGAGAUCGGGAGAGUUUGGAGCGGUGGGAUUUGGAAGAGAAGAGACGGUUGGGGUUUAAGGAUUUGAGAAGCUUCAUGUUUGAGGGAAAUGAAGUAUGAAUUUUGAUUUGGGGUUUUGGAAAUGGAAGUUUGUUUUGAAGACAAGUU